AACGAACGCUGGCGGCGUGCUUAACACAUGCAAGUCGAACGCGAAAUUUUUCUUCGGAAGAAGAGUAGAGUGGCGCACGGGUGAGUAACGCGUAAGUUAUCUACCUCGGCAUUUGGAAUAACUCACCGAAAGGUGUGCUAAUACCGGAUACGUUGAGUAAUCAAGAAAGGUGGCCUCUGAAUAUGCUACUGUGCUGAGAUGAGCUUGCGUACCAUUAGCUAGUUGGUGGGGUAAGAGCUCACCAAGGCGACGAUCUGUAGCGGGUCUGAGAGGAUGAUCCGCCACACUGGAACUGAGACACGGUCCAGACUCCUACGGGAAGCAGCAGUGGGGAAUUUUGGACAAUGGGGGCAACCCUGAUCCAGCCAUGCCGCGUGAGUGAAGAAGGCCUUCGGGUUGUAAAGCUCUUUCGGCCGGGAAGAAAUCGCAUCUUCUAAUACGGGGUGUGGAUGACGGUACCGGAAGAAGAAGCACCGGCUAACUACGUGCCAGCAGCCGCGGUAAUACGUAGGGUGCGAGCGUUAAUCGGAAUUACUGGGCGUAAAGGGUGCGCAGGCGGCGCCAUAAGACAGAUGUGAAAUCCCCGGGCUUAACCUGGGAACUGCGUUUGUGACUGUGGUGCUCGAGUGCGGCAGAGGGGGGUGGAAUUCCACGUGUAGCAGUGAAAUGCGUAGAGAUGUGGAGGAACACCGAUGGCGAAGGCAGCCCCCUGGGUCGACACUGACGCUCAUGCACGAAAGCGUGGGGAGCAAACAGGAUUAGAUACCCUGGUAGUCCACGCCCUAAACGAUGCGAACUAGGUGUUGGGGAAGGAGACUUCUUUAGUACCGUAGCUAACGCGUGAAGUUCGCCGCCUGGGGAGUACGGUCGCAAGAUUAAAACUCAAAGGAAUUGACGGGGACCCGCACAAGCGGUGGAUGAUGUGGAUUAAUUCGAUGCAACGCGAAAAACCUUACCUACCCUUGACAUGCCCGGAACCCUGCUGAGAGGUGGGGGUGCCCGAAAGGGAAUCGGGACACAGGUGCUGCAUGGCUGUCGUCAGCUCGUGUCGUGAGAUGUUGGGUUAAGUCCCGCAACGAGCGCAACCCUUGUCAUUAAUUGCCAUCAUUUAGUUGGGCACUUUAACGAGACUGCCGGUGACAAACCGGAGGAAGGUGGGGAUGACGUCAAGUCCUCAUGGCCCUUAUGGGUAGGGCUUCACACGUCAUACAAUGGUCGGUACAAAGGGUCGCCAACCCGCGAGGGGGAGCCAAUCCCAUAAAGCCGAUCGUAGUCCGGAUUGUAGGCUGCAACUCGCCUGCAUGAAGUCGGAAUCGCUAGUAAUCGUGGAUCAGCAUGUCACGGUGAAUACGUUCCCGGGUCU
RNAcentral lists this ribosomal RNA (1363 nucleotides) under uncultured soil bacterium. RNAcentral's name for it is "16S ribosomal RNA". It matches the Rfam family "Bacterial small subunit ribosomal RNA", at positions 28 to 1381 of the family's 1533-position model. The record is from RNAcentral.